GUUAAAUGUGACAUCUUUGAGCUCAUUUAUCACAACGUGUCCCACUGUGGGGUUAAAUUUCAGCUGUCCCACGGAGGUGGCAGAAGGCUUUGCGCCCUGGGGAGGCCAGCGGCCACUGGUGAGGCCUCGUUUGGGGCGGUGGUGCUUUGCCCACAGGGGCCUUGCCAGCGGGGCUCCUGCAGAUAGGGACCUCAGGCCUCCAUGUCCACCAGCAUCACCAAACUCAGCGGCCCCGCAGCGCGGGAGGGGCAGAGCGCAGAGCAGCGCGCAGAGCAGCGCGCAGCGCCCGCCGCCCAUCCCGUGCCCGCACCGAGCACCGGCCCCGCUCCGCAGCUCCGCACGGCUCGUGGCGGCGCGGCACGGCGCGGCACGGCGCGGCACGGCACG
This 387-nucleotide long non-coding RNA is filed under the name Gallus gallus (chicken). Lineage: Eukaryota; Metazoa; Chordata; Aves; Galliformes; Phasianidae. The record is from RNAcentral.